RNAcentral lists this ribosomal RNA (253 nucleotides) under uncultured bacterium. Its description in RNAcentral is "partial 16S ribosomal RNA". It matches the Rfam family "Bacterial small subunit ribosomal RNA", at positions 524 to 776 of the family's 1533-position model. The record is from RNAcentral.
UACGUAGGGGGCAAGCGUUGUCCGGAUUUAUUGGGCGUAAAGAGCGUGUAGGCGGCCGCACAGGUCCGUUGUGAAAACUGGAGGCUUAACCUUCAGACGUCGAUGGAAACCGUGCGGCUAGAGUCCGGAAGAGGAGAGUGGAAUUCCUGGUGUAGCGGUGAAAUGCGCAGAUAUCAGGAAGAACACCCGUGGCGAAGGCGGCUCUCCGGGACGGUACUGACGCUGAGACGCGAAAGCGUGGGGAGCGAACAGG